RNAcentral lists this ribosomal RNA (697 nucleotides) under uncultured bacterium. RNAcentral's name for it is "bacterial SSU rRNA". It matches the Rfam family "Bacterial small subunit ribosomal RNA", at positions 37 to 729 of the family's 1533-position model. The record is from RNAcentral.
UGGCGGCAGGCCUAACACAUGCAAGUCGAGCGGUAGAGAGAAGCUUGCUUCUCUUGAGAGCGGCGGACGGGUGAGUAAUACCUAGGAAUCUGCCUGAUAGUGGGGGAUAACGUUCGGAAACGGACGCUAAUACCGCAUACGUCCUACGGGAGAAAGCAGGGGACCUUCGGGCCUUGCGCUAUCAGAUGAGCCUAGGUCGGAUUAGCUAGUUGGUGAGGUAAUGGCUCACCAAGGCUACGAUCCGUAACUGGUCUGAGAGGAUGAUCAGUCACACUGGAACUGAGACACGGUCCAGACUCCUACGGGAGGCAGCAGUGGGGAAUAUUGGACAAUGGGCGAAAGCCUGAUCCAGCCAUGCCGCGUGUGUGAAGAAGGUCUUCGGAUUGUAAAGCACUUUAAGUUGGGAGGAAGGGCAGUUACCUAAUACGUGAUUGUCUUGACGUUACCGACAGAAUAAGCACCGGCUAACUCUGUGCCAGCAGCCGCGGUAAUACAGAGGGUGCAAGCGUUAAUCGGAAUUACUGGGCGUAAAGCGCGCGUAGGUGGUUUGUUAAGUUGAAUGUGAAAUCCCCGGGCUCAACCUGGGAACUGCAUCCAAAACUGGCAAGCUAGAGUAUGGUAGAGGGUAGUGGAAUUUCCUGUGUAGCGGUGAAAUGCGUAGAUAUAGGAAGGAACACCAGUGGCGAAGGCGACUACC